GCGGAGGAUGGCCCAGAUUAAGAGAAUGGUGACGAGGACAAGGAAUAGGAAGAUGAGGAUGCAGGCGAAAAUCCGGCGGAUGAGUUUCCGGCGCUUGUGGCCGUGGCCUCCGCAGUCUUUGGCCGACAUGGCGGAAGUGAGAAGAAGGUGACAGCGACUGUGGUGGUGGUGUGGAAAUGAAGAGAAAGUUAAAGAGAGGCUUUGGUAUAUAUGGAGAGGAGAUGGGUGAGGGUGGAGCCCUCUGGUUUUGUGUGAGAGUGUGC
This 263-nucleotide unclassified non-coding RNA is filed under the name Hevea brasiliensis (rubber tree). Lineage: Eukaryota; Viridiplantae; Streptophyta; Magnoliopsida; Malpighiales; Euphorbiaceae. The record is from RNAcentral.